Molecule: non-coding RNA, 942 nt
Filed under: Choerodon typus
Lineage: Eukaryota; Metazoa; Chordata; Actinopteri; Labriformes; Labridae
Description: partial 12S ribosomal RNA
Rfam family: Bacterial small subunit ribosomal RNA
Source: RNAcentral
CACAAAGGCUUAGUCCUAACUUUACUGUCAGCUGAGGCCAAAUUUACACAUGCAAGUAUCCGCCCCCCUGUGAAAAUGCCCUAAAGUCCCCUUUGUGGGGACGAGGAGCCGGUAUCAGGCCCAAUAAAAUUUAGCCCAUGACACCUUGCUAAGCCACACCCCCAAGGGAUUUCAGCAGUGAUAGAUAUUAAGCCAUAAGUGAAAACUUGACUUAGUUAAAGCCAAGAGGACCGGUAAAACUCGUGCCAGCCACCGCGGUUAUACGAGAGGUCCAAGUUGACAGACAGCGGCGUAAAGCGUGGUUAGGGCAGAACUAAGACUAAAGCCAAAUGCCCACAAAGCUGUUAUACGCACCCGAGGGCCAGAGACCCAACAACGAAAGUGGCUUUAAACACCUGAACCCACGAAAGCUGCGAAACAAACUGGGAUUAGAUACCCCACUAUGCGCAGCCGUAAACAUUGAUAACCAACUACAAAGGUUAUCCGCCAGGGAACUACGAGCAAUAGCUUAAAACCCAAAGGACUUGGCGGUCCUUCAGACCCACCUAGAGGAGCCUGUUCUGUAACCGAUAAUCCCCGUUAAACCUCACCUCUUCUUGCUCGAACCGCCUAUAUACCGCCGUCAUCAGCCUACCCUGUGAAGGACCCGUAGUCAGCUUAAUUGGCUCAGCCCAAAAUGCCAGGUCGAGGUGUAGCGUAUGGAGAGGGAAGAAAUGGGCUACAUUUAGUGCAACCACUUAUACACGGAAGAUGAGUUGAAACACUCUUCGGAAGGAGGAUUUAGCAGUAAGUCGAAAAUAGAGUGUUCUACUGAAGCAGGCUCUGAAGCGCGUACACACCGCCCGUCACUCUCCCCGAAAAUACAUUCACAUUAAUUAAUACGUUAUCACAAAAAAGGGGAGGCAAGUCGUAACAUGGUAGGUGUACCGGAAGGUGCACUUG